UACGUAGGGUCCGAGCGUUGUCCGGAGUUACUGGGCGUAAAGCGCGUGUAGGCGGCUAUGUAAGUCGGGCGUGAAAUCCCACGGCUCAACCGUGGAAGUGCACCCGAAACUGCGUAGCUAGAGUCCUGGAGAGGAAGGUGGAAUGCUUGGUGUAGAGGUGAAAUUCGUAGAUAUCAAGCGGAACACCGGUGGCGAAGGCGGCCUUCUGGACAGUGACUGACGCUGAGACGCGAAAGCGUGGGGAGCAAACAGG
This 253-nucleotide ribosomal RNA is filed under the name uncultured bacterium. RNAcentral describes it as "partial 16S ribosomal RNA". It matches the Rfam family "Bacterial small subunit ribosomal RNA", at positions 524 to 776 of the family's 1533-position model. The record is from RNAcentral.